RNAcentral lists this ribosomal RNA (253 nucleotides) under uncultured bacterium. RNAcentral describes it as "partial 16S ribosomal RNA". It matches the Rfam family "Bacterial small subunit ribosomal RNA", at positions 524 to 776 of the family's 1533-position model. The record is from RNAcentral.
UACGGAGGAUGCAAGCGUUAUCCGGACUGAUUGGGCGUAAAGCGUCCGCAGGUGGCUGUGUAAGUCUGCUGUUAAAUAGUGAGGCUCAACCUCAUAAAGGCAGUGGAAACUACACGGCUAGAGUGCGUUCGGGGCAGAGGGAAUUCCUGGUGUAGCGGUGAAAUGCGUAGAGAUCAGGAAGAACACCGGUGGCGAAAGCGCUCGGCUAGGCCGCAACUGACACUGAGGGACGAAAGCUAGGGGAGCGAAUGGG